AAAAUCAAUAUUAUUCAAUCAGUUUACUUCUCUUGAUUCAUUUCUAUAGUUCUCAUUACUUCAUGACCAUAACACUUACUUGCCAUCUGCUAGCAGUGAUUAGAUGGAAUGGUUGUUCACUAAUCUUUUGUCGAAACAUUGGAUUGCCAGUCCUAAACUCCCAUGGAUGCUUUGGAUUAUUAUCCCGAAUACUAGAGUUAAACAUGUUUUUAGAGAAGGGAAUCGGAGUGUUGAUGCUUUGGCUAAUCUCGAGAGCAGGUCUUUUUGUAACCAGCCCCAUGAAGCUAUUUUGUCGACUGUUUUAGCUGAGGCAUGGGACCUCCUGUUUGGCGUUGUGUUCUGUAGGAUUUUGAACUUGGUUUUAUGUUAUAAAGGGCAUUCUUUUUUCUACCAAAAAAUCUCAAUAAUAAAAAAUAAAUAAUAAAACUAAAAAAAGCGACAUGAAA
Long non-coding RNA from Gossypium arboreum, 446 nucleotides. RefSeq lists it as uncharacterized. The transcript has 2 exons. The record is from RefSeq and is a predicted model, not a curated record. Lineage: Eukaryota; Viridiplantae; Streptophyta; Magnoliopsida; Malvales; Malvaceae.